UUAAUUAAUAACUGAUGAUUACAGAUUACCAUAAAUGUAUGAGUUUGGCUUUUGAAUUAUAUUGUGAUUGCUUUGUUUUACUUACAUUUAAAACGUACACAAUAUAAGAAAUUGAACUGUGGGAUCCUGAUUCUUUCUUUUCAAUCAAAUUCAGUUAAACCUGGGGUACGAUUCCGUGAGAUUGGUGAAGUUAUUAGUCGCCAUGCAUCAAUGUCUGGCUUCUCAGUGGCAAGAUCAUAUUGUGGUCAUGGAAUUGGUGAGCUCUUCCAUUGUGCACCAAACAUCCCUCAUUAUGCGAG
Cajanus cajan (pigeon pea) is the source of this 299-nucleotide non-coding RNA. The record is from RefSeq and is a predicted model, not a curated record. NCBI's taxonomy places the organism in Eukaryota, Viridiplantae, Streptophyta, Magnoliopsida, Fabales, Fabaceae.